CUUUGACUCUGUUUGCAAACUCUUGUUUAAAUCUCUCGAGUAGACGCUGUCUCUUUAGAUGCAAGGGCAAAAUAGCACUUUAUGGACUUACACAGAGGACAUCAUGUUUAAUACGGUUCCGGAAAAAUCCAGUCAGAAGUUCUUCACGGAGUUUUCACAAUAACUGCUUCUCAUGAACCGAAGCUGCGCGACGUCUCCUCCUGAAAGUUGGAUUACCGUGCACUUCUGGAUCACAGGCUAUUCGCAGCUGUACACAUCCUUCUACACUGUAUGCAAACAUGCAACAUCAUAACACACAGUACAAGGAGUCAGACUGGCAUAUGAGGAGCAAAGGAACCCACGCAGUAGCAUCGUUUCAAAAUGUUUCCAUCACCAUCAUCAGUGGAUGCCUUUGCCGUCCGUACCCUGAGAUUUCAGAUUUGCUGCAAAAAAUGUGACUUUCCCAUUUAUUGGAAUGCUGUGCAGCCAUCCAUUACAAUGUCACCAAGCCGUAACAAAAGCAGGAGAGGGAAAGUACAAGGCUAUGUUCCCAAAACACAAAAGUGACAUACUUUAUGUGGAUGAUGUGAUCAGGCUUGUGUUUGCUGAGGUAUUUGAAGAUAAGCUGAAGGAAACCCCGAUUCCAAUGGACCUGGCAUCACAGUUUGAGAGACCUUCAAAGGAGGACGUGAUUGCAUGCCAUCUUCAGUGCAGGGGUCGUCGGAAGCCAACAUUCCGAUCGGGAAGCUCCAAGCGUAUCUGGAGAACAACACACGACAGGAUGAUAACCCUAAAGUGUCAUCUUAGAUAGCAUCAGCUGACAAAGCUUUGAUAUGCCAUUUAUCUGAAUAGAUAGCUGUAAGAAAUGAAUUGAACAAUUUUUGAAAGAAGAGCACAAUAUGGUUACUAAAGUAUGUUUAUUUGUAUAUUGUUUAACAUUUAAAUAUAUAUUUGUAAUAAAUAAAAAACUUUUGACUGA
Paramisgurnus dabryanus is the source of this 958-nucleotide long non-coding RNA. RefSeq lists it as uncharacterized. The record is from RefSeq and is a predicted model, not a curated record. Lineage: Eukaryota; Metazoa; Chordata; Actinopteri; Cypriniformes; Cobitidae.